This 350-nucleotide ribosomal RNA is filed under the name Enterobacter soli. Its description in RNAcentral is "bacterial SSU rRNA". It matches the Rfam family "Bacterial small subunit ribosomal RNA", at positions 149 to 494 of the family's 1533-position model. Lineage: Bacteria; Pseudomonadati; Pseudomonadota; Gammaproteobacteria; Enterobacterales; Enterobacteriaceae. The record is from RNAcentral.
ACUGGAAACGGUAGCUAAUACCGCAUAACGUCGCAAGACCAAAGAGGGGGACCUUCGGGCCUCUUGCCAUCAGAUGUGCCCAGAUGGGAUUAGCUAGUAGGUGGGGUAAUGGCUCACCUAGGCGACGAUCCCUAGCUGGUCUGAGAGGAUGACCAGCCACACUGGAACUGAGACACGGUCCAGACUCCUACGGGAGGCAGCAGUGGGGAAUAUUGCACAAUGGGCGCAAGCCUGAUGCAGCCAUGCCGCGUGUGUGAAGAAGGCCUUCGGGUUGUAAAGCACUUUCAGCGAGGAGGAAGGCAUUAAGGUUAAUAACCUUAGUGAUUGACGUUACUCGCAGAAGAAGCACC